CCCAGAGAAAUUUGGAUUAAUACUCAUAGUAUUUUCGGAUCGCAUGAUUUGAUUAUUAAAGUUCCAACGGUAAAAGAUGAGUAUGCGUCCCAUUAGCUAGAUGGUAAGGUAACGGCUUACCAUGGCGAUGAUGGGUAGGGGGUCCUGAGAGGGAGAUCCCCCACACUGGUACUGAGACACGGACCAGACUCCUACGGGAGGCAGCAGUGAGGAAUAUUGGACAAUGGGCGCAAGCCUGAUCCAGCCAUGCCGCGUGCAGGAAGACGGUCCUAUGGAUUGUAAACUGCUUUUAUACAGGAAGAAACACUCGGACGUGUCCGAACUUGACGGUACUGUAUGAAUAAGCAUCGGCUAACUCCGUG
RNAcentral lists this ribosomal RNA (362 nucleotides) under uncultured bacterium. Its description in RNAcentral is "bacterial SSU rRNA". It matches the Rfam family "Bacterial small subunit ribosomal RNA", at positions 147 to 507 of the family's 1533-position model. The record is from RNAcentral.